Molecule: ribosomal RNA, 468 nt
Filed under: uncultured bacterium
Lineage: Bacteria
Description: partial 16S ribosomal RNA
Rfam family: Bacterial small subunit ribosomal RNA
Source: RNAcentral
GACGAACGCUGGCGGCGUGCUUAACACAUGCAAGUCGAACGGAAAGGCCCUGCUUUUGUGGGGUGCUCGAGUGGCGAACGGGUGAGUAACACGUGAGUAACCUGCCCUUGACUUUGGGAUAACUUCAGGAAACUGGGGCUAAUACCGGAUAGGAGCUCCUGCUGCAUGGUGGGGGUUGGAAAGUUUCGGCGGUUGGGGAUGGACUCGCGGCUUAUCAGCUUGUUGGUGGGGUAGUGGCUUACCAAGGCUUUGACGGGUAGCCGGCCUGAGAGGGUGACCGGCCACAUUGGGACUGAGAUACGGCCAAGACUCCUACGGGAGGCAGCAGUGGGGAAUAUUGCACAAUGGGCGGAAGCCCGAUGCAGCAACGCCGCGUGCGGGAUGACGGCCUUCGGGUUGUAAACCGCUUUCGCCUGUGACGAAGCGUGAGUGACGGUAAUGGGUAAAGAAGCACCGGCUAACUACGUG